RNAcentral lists this long non-coding RNA (1124 nucleotides) under Pogona vitticeps (central bearded dragon). RNAcentral's name for it is "lncRNA (ENSPVIG00000008357.1)". Lineage: Eukaryota; Metazoa; Chordata; Lepidosauria; Squamata; Agamidae. The record is from RNAcentral.
CUUUAUCAUAUUGCAGAACGCAGUGAAUUUCUUCUUUACUGACAGCCUUCUUUUCUUACCUCAAUAGGCAGACGUAGGCGUACACUUGAAAGACAUCUGAAUUCAGAAAAUUCAGUUCCUUCCACUCCCUGAUGGAAUUCACUGUGUGAUCAAAUUAAAUAAAUAAAUGAAAAGGAACACUGGAGGUGUAGAGGAGGUGAUUGCUAAAUAUCAGGAUCUUAGAAGGGCAAGGGCGAAGGGAGAAAAGGAGCAAAGGCAAAAAUAUGACUCUAACGCGGGGCGCAAGCUUCCUGUUCCACACCAACAGACUCAACACAGGAACAAUGCCAGCUGUAGCUGCUUGAAUUCAACAACUGACAGGUGUUCAUGCUCACGUAAACCUGUUUUGCUUAAUACUCUUAGUGGUUUCAUAGGAGGAAAAGUCCCCCACACAUCCCCAGAUAUAGACAGUAGUAAGAAGGUGCCAUGAACAUGAAGCUUACCAAUGUGAAUUCCUCCACUAACAUCCAGCUAUGAAUGCCUAGAACAGGUACAGUGGGGUCUUGACUUGAGAACUUAAUCCGUAUUGGAAGGCGGUUCUCAAGUCAAAAAGUUCUCAAGUCAAAUCUGCAUUUCCCAUAGGAAUGCAUUGAAAACCAUUUAAUCCGUAGCUGCUCUUUUCCGUCCAUAGAAACUAAUGGGAAACUGCUAUUCCGCCUUCGACCACUAGAGGGAGAUAUUUUGUUUCUUUUUUUCUUAGGUCAAGAAAGGUUCAGGGAAGGCAGGGAAAAUACAGUCCAGGCAGUACAGUACCAGGCAGUCCGAAGACUGUCUCCCAAUCCACUCUCUAAACGCUGGGAGGAGUGAGGAAGCAGACAGGCACCCUUUUCACUGGCCAACAGUUAACUGAAAGUUCACUUUUUGCACUUUCCCUGCCUCCCAUGUGGGUUUUUUCAGUUCUUAACUCAAAUCUAAGUACUUAAGUCAAGUCAAUAUUUUCCUAUGAGAGUGGUUCUUAAGUCAAAAUGUUCUUAACUCAAGCCGUUCUUAAGUCAAGACCCCACUGUAUUCCCAAAAGCCCAAAGCCCUAAGCAAGCUAGAGCUUCAGGGAAUUGUAAUCCAAGAGCAUUUGGGGGCCCAGAAUU